RNAcentral lists this unclassified non-coding RNA (346 nucleotides) under soil metagenome. RNAcentral describes it as "partial contains 5.8S ribosomal RNA, internal transcribed spacer 2, and large subunit ribosomal RNA". The stretch from base 1 to 120 matches the Rfam family "5.8S ribosomal RNA", at positions 35 to 154 of the family's 154-position model. The record is from RNAcentral.
GAUGAAGAACGUAGUAAAAUGCGAUAAGUAAUGUGAAUUGCAGAAUUCAGUGAAUCAUCGAAUCUUUGAACGCACAUUGCGCCCGCUGGUAUUCCGGCGGGCAUGCCUGUUCGAGCGUCAUUUCAACCCUCAAGCCCCCGGGUUUGGUGUUGGGGAUCGGCUCUGCCUUACGGCGGUGCCGCCCCCGAAAUACAUUGGCGGUCUCGCUGCAGCCUCCAUUGCGUAGUAGCUAACACCUCACAACUGGAACGCGGCGCGGCCAUGCCGUAAAACCCCAACUUCUGAAUGUUGACCUCGGAUCAGGUAGGAAUACCCGCUGAACUUAAGCAUAUCAAUAAGCGGAGGA